Molecule: ribosomal RNA, 440 nt
Filed under: uncultured bacterium
Lineage: Bacteria
Description: partial 16S ribosomal RNA
Rfam family: Bacterial small subunit ribosomal RNA
Source: RNAcentral
CCUACGGAAGACAGCAGUGGGGAAUAUUGCACAAUGGGGGAAACCCUGAUGCAGCGACGCCGCGUGAGUGAAGAAGUAUUUCGGUACGUAAAGCUCUAUCAGCAGGGAAGAAAAUGACGGUACCUGACUAAGAAGCCCCGGCUAACUACGUGCCAGCAGCCGCGGUAAUACGUAGGGGGCAAGCGUUAUCCGGAUUUACUGGGUGUAAAGGGAGCGUAGACGGCAGCGCAAGUCUGGAGUGAAAUCCCAUGGCUUAACCAUGGAACUGCUUUGGAAACUGUGCAGCUAGAGUGCAGGAGAGGUAAGCGGAAUUCCUAGUGUAGCGGUGAAAUGCGUAGAUAUUAGGAGGAACACCAGUGGCGAAGGCGGCUUACUGGACUGUAACUGACGUUGAGGCUCGAAGGCGUGGGGAGCAAACAGGAUUAGAUACCCGUGUAGUC